This 1830-nucleotide long non-coding RNA is filed under the name Acyrthosiphon pisum (pea aphid). RNAcentral describes it as "uncharacterized LOC115034282". The record is from RNAcentral. Lineage: Eukaryota; Metazoa; Arthropoda; Insecta; Hemiptera; Aphididae.
AUUAUUAUUAUCUGAGACCGUAGUAACGAGAUUUAUUUAUUUAAACUAAAGUUUUCAAAAUCAAUUAUUUACACUUACUAGACGCACGACAAAAGAAAGACCGGACAAACUUAAGGAGAAACGCUGGUUAUAGGGAAUGUCCAUUCCGCGGAACUGGAGAGGCGCCUAAUUGGAGUGGCGCCUAUAACGAGAUAUACACUGCAUCACCAAAGGGCAACGAGAGGACUAUCGGUAGGCUGUCGGACCGGGAUGUCGGGGGACGUGGCUGGCCAUUGCGGUAACCCGGCCACGUUCUCGUUGGGCUGCGACGACGGCUUGGGACGGUGCACUACGACAUAUGCGGCCGAAAGCGAAUCAGACCGCGGAGCAGGAGGAUGGCUCGACGGCGGAGAUAAAUAUAAGAUAUGGCAUGCAGCGGCGGCACUUGCAGCAGCCGCAGACACCGAAAAAGGAUCGGCGGACGAGUUUGGAGAUCAGCCGCCGCCAAAGGACCACCGAAAGCAUAUUAUGUAACGGGAAUGCUGCCCGCGUCCGGCAAACCGGCCCGCCCGCGACGGCGGGGUUCGUUCUGCAGAGGCAUUAUGGGAAAGCGGUCGGGCGAACCGGACGAGAAAGGCAGGCUGUGCAGAUCGAGGUGCUUAUAGUUGGUGUCGGAAUAACCGGAGAUGGUCGAAGGAGGAACUGACAGGAAGUGACGAUGAAACUUAGGGGGGGUAAGGAGCGACGUGGCAGUUUCACGAUGUUACCUACAUACAUUACGAUUCGACCGUAUGAUAAAUUACUUACAUUACAACCAGGCCGGCCAAAAGCCGACUGCGACAGAUCAACCUAACCCUAAUACCAUACGAUUAACCGGCGAGUUUCCACUAACUAAUAUGCUCGCCGGAACCAGGCCGGCCACGACCGAUCAACCUAACCCGCAUCCAAAUAUAUUAAACUGUGCCAAACAACUACAACACAACAUACCUACAAUACGAUAAUUGACCGGCGAGUUUCCACUAACUAUGAUAUGCUCGCCGGAACCAGGCCGGCCAGAAGCCGGCCACGACCGAUCAACCUAACCCACUACCAAACAUAACUACAACAUAACAUACCAUACGAUAAUUGACCGGCGAGUUUCCACUAACUAUGAUAUGCUCGCCGGAACUCUUGAAGCUGUAGUGUCGCGCUUCUCCAAACUGCCAUCAACAUCACGCUCCUUACCCUCCGAUCUGCAGUUUCAUCGUCACUUCCAAAGAUUUCUCCUGUCACCAUCUCCGGGUCCGGCGAGCACCUCGAUCAGCAGCCUGCAAUAGCUUUUUAUAUAGUCCAAACCGCCCGGCUGAGCGUCUCCCCGCUGCAGAACGAACACGAGCUGGUUAGACGGACGCGGGCAGCGUUUCCGCGGUCGUGGUCUUUUGGCAAAGGCUGAUUUCCAGACUCGUCCACUUGCUGCUUCCUUAUCCUGCGGCUGCUGUCGCCGCUGCAUGCCAUAGUCUUCGCCGUUGAGCUCCCGCACAUCCUCUUGCUCCGCCCAGAGCACUGAUCAUCCGCAGUCGGCCGGAAGUUGUUGUAGUGCACUGCGCCGUCGUCGUGGCCCAACGAGAACCCCCCCACAGAUCCAGUGACCCAUCGACGGCGUCCUGGUCCGACAGCCCGUAACCUCAAAAUAUCCUCUCGUCGUCUUUGAUGUGCAGUGUGUCUGUAUAAGCCGGCAAUGGACAUUCCAGAAAAAUACAUUAAAGCUAAAAAAAAAAAUUGUCAUUGUUUUAUAUUAAUAAAGAAAAAUUUACCGAUUGAUAUUCAUUAUAUUUUUGUAUUAUUAUACAGAUUUGUUGAAAGGGUAAACCG